This 321-nucleotide ribosomal RNA is filed under the name uncultured Paracercomonas. RNAcentral's name for it is "SSU rRNA". The stretch from base 105 to 321 matches the Rfam family "Eukaryotic small subunit ribosomal RNA", at positions 737 to 955 of the family's 1831-position model. Lineage: Eukaryota; Cercozoa; Cercomonadida; Cercomonadidae. The record is from RNAcentral.
GAUUUCUGGUCGGGCGCGCCCAGCCCAGCGGGUUAAACCGUUGAGUGCUGGCGUGCGCCUACCAUCCUUCUAGUGAACGGCACUACCCUUUACUGGGCCGGUGUCGCCAGCUAGAUCUUUUACUUUGAAAAAAUUAGAGUGUUUAAAGCAGGCUUGCGCUAUGAAUACAUUAGCAUGGAAUAAUAAUUUAGGACUUUGUUUCUAUUUUGUUGGUUUCUAGGAAUGAAGUAAUGAUUGAUAGGGAUAGUUGGGGGUGCUAGUAUUCAGUGGCCAGAGGUGAAAUUCUUGGAUUCACUGAAGACUAACUACUGCGAAAGCAUU